UUUUUAUAACAAUUUUUUUCUCAGCCAAAAAAAUGCUUUUAAAAACCCUUGUAAAUUUAUUUUAAAACACUUUUAAACCCUUUAAAAAUCUUUGAAAAACCUUUGUAAAUCUUUUAAAGGCCUUUAAAAUCUCUUGUAAAUAUUUUAAAACUCUUUUAAAAUCCCUUGUAAAUCUUUAAAAACCCUUUUAAAAUCACUUGUAAAUAUUUUAAAACCCUUUUAAAACAAUUUUAAACCCUUUAAAAAAC
This 248-nucleotide small RNA is filed under the name Arabidopsis thaliana (thale cress). Its description in RNAcentral is "ATSL030720". The record is from RNAcentral. Lineage: Eukaryota; Viridiplantae; Streptophyta; Magnoliopsida; Brassicales; Brassicaceae.